GGGGUUGUGGCUCAAUGGUAGAGCGCUCGCCUAGCACGCACGAGGCACUGAGUUCUAUCCUCAGCACCACA
RNAcentral lists this transfer RNA (71 nucleotides) under Marmota monax (woodchuck). RNAcentral describes it as "tRNA.Ala". It matches the Rfam family "tRNA". From Rfam's summary of the family: Transfer RNA (tRNA) molecules are approximately 80 nucleotides in length. Their secondary structure includes four short double-helical elements and three loops (D, anti-codon, and T loops). Lineage: Eukaryota; Metazoa; Chordata; Mammalia; Rodentia; Sciuridae. The record is from RNAcentral.